AUAUUGUCCUGGUUCAUAGUCAUCACCACUGGGUUUUCAUGCCAUCGUGCAAGAUGUAGCUCCCUGAAACCUUGAGAUAAAGUCAGCAUGUCAUCACUCUGAUG
Molecule: small nucleolar RNA, 104 nt
Organism: Sciurus carolinensis (gray squirrel)
Lineage: Eukaryota; Metazoa; Chordata; Mammalia; Rodentia; Sciuridae
Product: small nucleolar RNA U13
Exons: 1
Source: RefSeq, a predicted model, not a curated record